Molecule: long non-coding RNA, 1653 nt
Organism: Macrobrachium nipponense
Lineage: Eukaryota; Metazoa; Arthropoda; Malacostraca; Decapoda; Palaemonidae
Exons: 3
Source: RefSeq, a predicted model, not a curated record
UAAUUACCUUAAUUAAAAACAAAGCGCCUAUAACUGCCUCGUGCCGUGUAAACAAAAGCUGAAUUAAAUUAUAUCCCAAAUGAAGGCAGUAGCACUGAUAGCUACCGUUGGCCAGACAAAAUUAAGGAGGAACAGAGAUAAAAGGUCUUUUUUAAAGUUCAUCCUCUCUGUCCAUUAUCUAUCCCAGGCAUCCCAACAAGCUGGAGGAAGUAAGCCAGCUCUCUCUCUCUCUCUCUCUCAGGUAUCCCAAUAAGUUGGAGGAAGUAAGCUAGCUCUCUCUCUCUCUCUCUCCCUCAUACGAUACGCCAUGUCUCGCCAGCAAUCCAAAGUACGCCAGGAAGGCUGUAAGAAACGACGUCUUGAUAAUAAGCCUCCAUUCCCCUUGUCAGUAUUUUUUUAUGGACGACGGCUAUUCACGUCAAUAAACAAGUAACUGUUUGGCAAUUAUGGCAUACUCUUUGGCAAGUCUAGACGGCAGAGCUUCCUGUACGCCUCAUACAAGAAGAAGAAGAGGGUGGCGAAGAAGGAGCAAGCGGAUGUAAAGUGUAAACAAGCUAGGUUUCGCCGAUGUUGUUUUGUUCUGUUGAAUCUGUUCAGUGCGUGGCUGGCUGCUCCGUUUGGAAUGUUGGUUGAUACGUCUGUUUAACUGUUACUCAACUGGUAGCCCACUCGGUUGGGUUAAUUAGGGAGGUCUUGCUUAAAUCAUCGGACGUAGAAACUUUUAUCCUCUACGGUUUGUGUCACUUUGUAAGUUAAAUAUUUUAACAGUAAGUACGUAAUCACUAAGAAACUACUUGGACGAAACCAUGAUACAUUCAGAGUAGUGAGUUCACCCCUCGGCGUACUCAAAAGCCGCAGGAAUGUUGAAGAAUGGCUGGGACACUUUGAACAUAAUUUUGAAAAAAGGUGAUUAUUGAUGAAACUGAUCUGCUGGCUUUUUUGUAUAAGAGGGUGUUAUUUAGUGAAAUAAAAACAAAUUUCGCCUAGACUAAAGCAUUUCUUCAAUUUGCCUUUAAAAACAAUAAUGGUACUAUUUUUACCCCCCUACUCCCCGAUCAUAAUCAAAGGGGUGUAUUACGGUAAUUGAGUGUUCUUGGAACACGCCAGAGGAUGAAGAGAAAAUGUUGGGAUAAAUAUGUCUUGGUUUUAGUCUUUUAAAUUCUUGAAUUAAUGGAAAUAAGUCAGAGGGUUGUUCCUGCAACUUUUAGUUUUAUUUUAAACCAAGAGUUCAGUAAACAGUUUGAACAGUUCAAUAAAGCAAUAGAUAAGUAAUAACCUUAAUUGCCGAUGUAUAAGUCAGGAAAUGGUUGGGAUUUCGGGAAUGAGUAAUUACAGUAAGUAAUUACAGUUAGUAACAGUCUCUCGGUUGUGUGGAAACCAGUUUUGAAGUUGACAGAGCAGAAUAAAGUACAGUAAAUUAGUAACGACUAUACUGGCCAUAAUCUAGUUAGCCUGAACCAAUGCAAAGGAUAGCAGUCUGGUUUCUGUUAUUACGAGUGACUUAAGUUACCAGGAUUUAAUUAAUCCUUAACUAAUUUGUUUAGGCAUUCGGCAAAAGUUGUCAAUGCAAUAGGCUAUGCAAAACCAGACUAAUAACUUGAUAGCUUAGCGGGGCGUGCAUUUAGUAUACCAGGCCUUCGGCGAUAUUAUACG